Molecule: ribosomal RNA, 406 nt
Filed under: uncultured bacterium
Lineage: Bacteria
Description: partial 16S ribosomal RNA
Rfam family: Bacterial small subunit ribosomal RNA
Source: RNAcentral
AUUGAACGCUGGCGGCAGGCCUAACACAUGCAAGUCGAGCGAGCGGCGGACGGGUGAGUAAUGCCUAGGAAUCUGCCUGGUAGUGGGGGAUAACUCCUGGAAACGGUAGCUAAUAACGCAUACCAUCGGAUGUGCCUCGAGGGGAUUAGCUAGUAGGUGGGGUAAAGGCUCACCUAGGUGACGAUCCCUAGCUGGGCUGAGAGGAUGACCAGCCACACUGGAACUGAGACACGGUCCAGACUCCUACGGGAGGCAGCAGUGGGGAAGAUUGCACAAUGGGCGCAAGCCUGAUGCAGCCAUGCCGCGUGUAUGAAGAAGGCCUUCGGGUUGUAAAGUACUUUCAGCGGGGAGGCGUUACCCGCAGAAGAAGCACCGGCUAACUCCGUGCCAGCCGCCGCGGUAAUUC